UAGGAAAUAUAGAUGUCACUGAGUCGCUCUUAUAGCUGCAAAUUGUGAAACAAUGGAUUAAUUCAUUAUUUUAUGCUAGUUAUCUAUUGUUUUUGGAAAUAAUGAAUACGGUGUGCAACAUUAUUCCAUGAUGAUGAUGUGAUGUUCUGAUUAAAUUGGACAAGAAGAAAAUUGUGCCUUGUACAAAUAGGAAACUUACAAAUUGUAUUAAAGGAGGACCACAUUACUGGAGGACUAAAUACCUUGGAUUAUCAUGAUAAUUAUUAAUUUGCUAUAUCAAUCAUGAUCAAUUGUGAAUUUGGAAUAACAAAAUUUCAUAGUUGCAGUGCAUAUUAAUAGUGCAAUCAUACAUGUACAUUGUUUCUGUAUUCCAUGAAUACCCAGGAUAAUUAUUCAUUUGAAAUAGCAAUUUGGAAUAAUGAAAAUUCAUAGUUUCAGUGAAUACUACUAAUAAUAGUGCAUCAUAUCUGAAUUCAUGAAUACUUUUAAUUAGUGGAUAAUCAGUCAUUUUAAUAUAAUAACAAUAUGGAUAAUGUGAAUUUCUAGUUUCAGUGAAAUUUACAAAACAGUACAAGUAUAUCACAUCUGAAGUUUAUGUUGGCAUUGCAAUUGUUAACUACCGCCAGCAUGUCCAGGGUGUGUAAAAAGAUCUUAACCAACUAUGAGGGUCUCGUGCAGUCCGUGUCAAUUGUUUAGUGUCAAAUGACUGCUUGCUGUACUUAAAUUAUUAAAGUCUGAAUUAGAAUUAAAUAAAAAUCUUAAUUAGCAUGAUUAGUGGCC
Molecule: long non-coding RNA, 780 nt
Filed under: Mytilus galloprovincialis (Mediterranean mussel)
Lineage: Eukaryota; Metazoa; Mollusca; Bivalvia; Mytilida; Mytilidae
Source: RNAcentral